Molecule: ribosomal RNA, 403 nt
Filed under: uncultured bacterium
Lineage: Bacteria
Description: partial 16S ribosomal RNA
Rfam family: Bacterial small subunit ribosomal RNA
Source: RNAcentral
AUUGAACGCUGGCGGCAGGCCUAACACAUGCAAGUCGAGCGAGCGGCGGACGGGUGAGUAAUGUAUGGGGACUGCCCGAUAGAGGGGGAUAACUACUGGAAACGGUAGCUAAUACCGCAUACUAUCGGAUAACCCAUAUGGGAUUAGCUAGUAGGUGAGUUAAUGGCUCACCUAGGCGACGAGCCCUAGCUGGUCUGAGAGGAGGAUCAGCCACCCUGGGACUGGGACAAGGCCCAGACUCCUACGGAGGCAGCAGGGGGGAAUUUUGCACAAUGGGCGGAAGCCUGAUGCAGCCAUGCCGCGUGUAUGAAGAAGGCCCUAGGGUUGUAAAGUACUUUCAGUCGGGAGGCGUUACCGACAGAAGAAGCACCGGCUAACUCCGUGCCAGCCGCCGCGGUAAUAC